GCAAACACCAGCCUCCACUGAGAGCUUUAAACAACAUAUAAUUUGACAUUGAUUGUAAAGGAUAUGAACAAAAGAAUACCGAUGAAUGAUCUUUUCUUUUCUUUUAUAUAACAUGCAAUAAUCACCUUAAGAUUACUGAAAAUUAGUUCACGUUUAUCGACUUCUAUUUCCUAUUCACAAAUUUCUUUAUCCUUUUCAUUAACUUCAAAAACUGAAUUUUCUUUUACGGCGAAAGAAAAUGCAAUCCAUAGGAAUUGCAAAACAAAAAUCACUUUCUGUUAGUUAGCGAGAAUAUGUAAUAAAAGAAAUUCAGCUAAUUCGACAACCCAAUAUAUAGGAAAACAAAAAUCACUUUCUUGCUGUGAAUAAACACUCCAAUUCCAAGAAAAUGAAAAACCCAGAUAAAAGCAUGUCAUCUUGUUCCAUACUAGCUUGCUUUUCUACAAUUGUAACCAAUAACCCAUAAAUUAUAAAGCUUAAAUUAGUAAAAGAAACGCAUCAUUACCUGA
This 509-nucleotide unclassified non-coding RNA is filed under the name Hevea brasiliensis (rubber tree). The record is from RNAcentral. Lineage: Eukaryota; Viridiplantae; Streptophyta; Magnoliopsida; Malpighiales; Euphorbiaceae.